GAUGAACGCUGGCGGCGUGCCUAAUACAUGCAAGUCGAGCGAACAGACGAGGAGCUUGGUCCUCUGACGUUAGCGGCGGACGGGUGAGUAACACGUGGAUAACCUACCUAUAAGACUUGGAUAACUUCGGGAAACCGUAGUUAAGACCGGAUAAUAUAUUGAACCGCAUGGUUCAAUAGUUAAAGAGGUUUUGGCUGUCACUUAUAGAUGUAUCCGCGCCGCAUUAGCUAGUUGGUAAGGUAACGGCUUACCAAGGCAACGAUGCGUAGCCGACCUGAGAGGGUGAUCGGCCACACUGGAACUGAGACACGGUCCAGACUCCUACGGGAGGCAGCAGUAGGGAAUCUUCCGCAAUGGGCGAAAGCCUGACGGAGCAACGCCGCGUGAGUGAUGAAGGUCUUCGGAUCGUAAAACUCUGUUAUUAGGGAAGAACAAAUGUGUAAGUAACUAUGCACGUCUUGACGGUACCUAAUCAGAAAGCCACGGCUAACUACGUG
RNAcentral lists this ribosomal RNA (497 nucleotides) under uncultured bacterium. Its description in RNAcentral is "partial 16S ribosomal RNA". It matches the Rfam family "Bacterial small subunit ribosomal RNA", at positions 28 to 507 of the family's 1533-position model. The record is from RNAcentral.